RNAcentral lists this ribosomal RNA (599 nucleotides) under Collophorina africana. RNAcentral describes it as "partial large subunit ribosomal RNA". It matches the Rfam family "Eukaryotic large subunit ribosomal RNA", at positions 50 to 667 of the family's 3401-position model. The record is from RNAcentral. Lineage: Eukaryota; Fungi; Ascomycota; Leotiomycetes; Phacidiales.
GCGGAGGAAAAGAAACCAACAGGGAUUGCCUCAGUAACGGCGAGUGAAGCGGCAUCAGCUCAAAUUUGAAAUCUGGUCUCACGAUCCGAGUUGUAAUUUGUAGAGAAUGCUUCGGGCGAGGUCCGGUCUAAGUUCCUUGGAACAGGACGUCAUAGAGGGUGAGAAUCCCGUAUGCGACCGGGUGCCUCCGCCCAUGUGAAGCUUCUUCGACGAGUCGAGUUGUUUGGGAAUGCAGCUCAAAAUGGGUGGUAAAUUUCAUCUAAAGCUAAAUACUGGCCAGAGACCGAUAGCGCACAAGUAGAGUGAUCGAAAGAUGAAAAGCACUUUGGAAAGAGAGUUAAACAGUACGUGAAAUUGUUGAAAGGGAAGCGCUUGCAACCAGACUUGCGCGUGGCCGAUCAUCCGGUGUUCUCACCGGUGCACUCGGUUGCGCUCAGGCCAGCAUCGGUUUCGGUGGUUGGAUAAAGGCCCGGGGAAUGUAGCUCCUCUCGGGGAGUGUUAUAGCCCUGGGUGCAAUGCAGCCUACCGGGACCGAGGACCGCGCUUCGGCUAGGAUGCUGGCGUAAUGGUUGUAAGCGACCCGUCUUGAAACACGGACC